AUUGAACGCUGGCGGCAUGCCUUACACAUGCAAGUCGAACGGCAGCAUGGAGAGCUUGCUCUCUGAUGGCGAGUGGCGAACGGGUGAGUAAUGCAUCGGAACGUACCGUGUAAUGGGGGAUAACGUAGCGAAAGUUACGCUAAUACCGCAUACGACCUGAGGGUGAAAGCAGGGGACCGCAAGACCUUGCGUUAUACGAGCGGCCGAUGUCAGAUUAGCUAGUUGGUGAGGUAAAGGCUCACCAAGGCGACGAUCUGUAGCGGGUCUGAGAGGAUGAUCCGCCACACUGGACUGAGACACGGCCCAGACUCCUACGGGAGGCAGCAGUGGGGAAUUUUGGACAAUGGGGGCAACCCUGAUCCAGCCAUGCCGCGUGAGUGAAGAAGGCCUUCGGGUUGUAAAGCUCUUUCGGCCGGGAAGAAAUCGCACAGGCUAAUACUCUGUGUGGAUGACGGUACCGGCAUAAGAAGCACCGGCUAACUACGUGCCAGCCGCCGCAGUAA
Molecule: ribosomal RNA, 503 nt
Filed under: uncultured bacterium
Lineage: Bacteria
Description: partial 16S ribosomal RNA
Rfam family: Bacterial small subunit ribosomal RNA
Source: RNAcentral